UACGAAGGGGGCUAGCGUUGCUCGGAAUCACUGGGCGUAAAGGGCGCGUAGGCGGAUCUUUAAGUCAGGGGUGAAAGCCUGAGGCUCAACCUCAGAAUUGCCUUUGAUACUGAAGAUCUUGAGACCGGAAGAGGUUAGUGGAACUGCGAGUGUAGAGGUGAAAUUCGUAGAUAUUCGCAAGAACACCAGUGGCGAAGGCGGCUCACUGGCCCGGUACUGACGCUGAGGUGCGAAAGCGUGGGGAGCAAACAGG
This 253-nucleotide ribosomal RNA is filed under the name uncultured bacterium. RNAcentral's name for it is "partial 16S ribosomal RNA". It matches the Rfam family "Bacterial small subunit ribosomal RNA", at positions 524 to 776 of the family's 1533-position model. The record is from RNAcentral.